RNAcentral lists this ribosomal RNA (1076 nucleotides) under Campylobacter concisus. RNAcentral describes it as "bacterial SSU rRNA". It matches the Rfam family "Bacterial small subunit ribosomal RNA", at positions 162 to 1256 of the family's 1533-position model. The record is from RNAcentral. Lineage: Bacteria; Pseudomonadati; Campylobacterota; Epsilonproteobacteria; Campylobacterales; Campylobacteraceae.
GCUAAUACUCUAUACUCCUGUCUUACAUAAGUUAGAUAGGGAAAGUUUUUCGGUGUAGGAUGAGGCUAUAUUGUAUCAGCUAGUUGGUGAGGUAAUGGCUCACCAAGGCUAUGACGCAUAACUGGUCUGAGAGGAUGAUCAGUCACACUGGAACUGAGACACGGUCCAGACUCCUACGGGAGGCAGCAGUAGGGAAUAUUGCUCAAUGGGGGAAACCCUGAAGCAGCAACGCCGCGUGGAGGAUGACACUUUUCGGAGCGUAAACUCCUUUUGUUAGGGAAGAACAAUGACGGUACCUAACGAAUAAGCACCGGCUAACUCCGUGCCAGCAGCCGCGGUAAUACGGAGGGUGCAAGCGUUACUCGGAAUCACUGGGCGUAAAGGACGCGUAGGCGGAUUAUCAAGUCUCUUGUGAAAUCCUAUGGCUUAACCAUAGAACUGCUUGGGAAACUGGUAAUCUAGAGUGAGGGAGAGGCAGAUGGAAUUGGUGGUGUAGGGGUAAAAUCCGUAGAGAUCACCAGGAAUACCCAUUGCGAAGGCGAUCUGCUGGAACUCAACUGACGCUAAUGCGUGAAAGCGUGGGGAGCAAACAGGAUUAGAUACCCUGGUAGUCCACGCCCUAAACGAUGUAUACUAGUUGUUGCUAAGCUAGUCUUGGCAGUAAUGCACCUAACGGAUUAAGUAUACCGCCUGGGGAGUACGGUCGCAAGAUUAAAACUCAAAGGAAUAGACGGGGACCCGCACAAGCGGUGGAGCAUGUGGUUUAAUUCGAAAAUACGCGAAGAACCUUACCCGGACUUGAUAUCUAACAAAUCAUCUAGAGAUAGAAGAGUGUCUGCUUGCAGAAAUGUUAAGACAGGUGCUGCACGGCUGUCGUCAGCUCGUGUCGUGAGAUGUUGGGUUAAGUCCCGCAACGAGCGCAACCCACGUCAUUAGUUGUUAACAGUUCGGCUGAGCAUUCUAAUGAGACUGCCUUCGUAAGGAGGAGGAAGGUGUGGAUGACGUCAAGUCAUCAUGGCCCUUAUGUCCGGGGCGACACACGUGCUACAAUGGCAUAUACAAUGAGAAGCAAUAUC